Molecule: small nuclear RNA, 74 nt
Filed under: Seriola lalandi dorsalis
Lineage: Eukaryota; Metazoa; Chordata; Actinopteri; Carangiformes; Carangidae
Description: U5 spliceosomal RNA (ENSSLDG00000022878.1)
Rfam family: U5 spliceosomal RNA
About the family: U5 RNA is a component of both types of known spliceosome.
Source: RNAcentral
CUCUGGUUUCUCUUCAUAACGCACAAGUCUUUCGCCUUUUACUAAAGACUUCCGUGGAGAGGAACAGCAACGAG